Molecule: long non-coding RNA, 1097 nt
Organism: Pseudopipra pipra
Lineage: Eukaryota; Metazoa; Chordata; Aves; Passeriformes; Pipridae
Exons: 3
Source: RefSeq, a predicted model, not a curated record
UACGGAAACCUGCCAAAUCUCUAUCCUCACUGCAGGGAGCUCCUCAUGCUGCCAGGCAGUAAGGAAAACAGAUGGCUGUUGCUUUUGAAGCCACUAACAUUCAUUUCUGUGCCUGUUGUGUAUUUUUUCCUCCUUCCCCUCAAGUUUCCAACUCCUGCAGUAGCUCCUGUAGCAGCCAGCCAUUGGCAGACAUGCUGGAAGGCAGCCACGCAGGCGGACCUUACAUGAAUGUUAACGGUUGAUUUUUGCCUGCCCUGGCUUCCUGAAGAAUUGCUGUUCUUUGUAUUGUGACACAACUGGGACCACAGGCUCAGCUUCUGACUUUGUCUGGUGCUUCCUGUUGGGAUGUGUACAUAUGGAUACUCAGAAAUACUAUGAAGAAAUUAAAUAAGAUUAUUCAGCAAUAAAUCAGAAUUUCUGGUUCUGGCCGGCUUUUAAGUUUGGAUCCGCAAACAGUUGAAGAUCAAAAGUUGAAGCUUCUGUAUUUUCUAAUCUAAUUUUAUAUCUCAUUCUUCAGAUUUCAUGAGUAUUUUAAUGUUUUGCAGAUAUCAGGACAUUUUCCUUCAUUGAGCUUAUCCAGGGGCAUUUAGGAAACCUCAUCUAUUUUCUGGGGUAUUCUAGUCCUUACAGUAUAAAUCUCACAUUUAAACUCCAUAGUAAGUCAUACUGGCAACUUCUUUUUUAAGAAGAUUCACAUUAAAAAUGCCUCUGUGGCAUCAACCUGCUUUUAAUUUAGAAUGUUUUCAUAUAGUUUCUUUUUUUGCAGUAUUACUGGACAAGAGAACCUUGUGGACUUCUUGUCCUUGUAAGGAUUUGCAAAAACACCCUGAAACAAUGUUUAGUGAGACUAUGCUUUGUACUAGCUGAAAUUAUGUUGGUGAGGGUUGGUAACAUGAAAUUAAAUGAUACACACUAAAUAGGGUUUGUUGGCUGGCAAACUGGUGGAAAGUGAAGAAAGAGGAAUGUCUGGGUAAGGACGACUACUGUGUAGUAGCAAGCUGACUGUGAUUUCAGAGAAAAUACAUCUAAUUUUGUCUUAGGGAACUCCCUGAAUUUGCACCUGGUGUUCCUAUAGAAAUAGGUAUGUCUUGAGUCCA